GACUUUCAACACUCUUUUUAUGUUGAUCCGGAAGGAUUAUCUAGGGGUCUUACAUUAUGGUGGAAGGAUUGUAUUUCGGUUUAAGUUUUGCAAGAGUCGAAGAGGUGGAUUGAUGUUUUCACUUCCCAACUUACCCCCUAACACGCAACCUUUGUGUAUGGUCAUCUAGAUGUCCGAGGACGUGUUGCAUUCCUUGAUAGUCUCAAGCAUCUUGAUAUACA
Molecule: unclassified non-coding RNA, 221 nt
Filed under: Hevea brasiliensis (rubber tree)
Lineage: Eukaryota; Viridiplantae; Streptophyta; Magnoliopsida; Malpighiales; Euphorbiaceae
Source: RNAcentral